This 505-nucleotide ribosomal RNA is filed under the name uncultured bacterium. RNAcentral's name for it is "partial 16S ribosomal RNA". It matches the Rfam family "Bacterial small subunit ribosomal RNA", at positions 28 to 507 of the family's 1533-position model. The record is from RNAcentral.
GACGAACGCUGGCGGCGUGCCUAAUACAUGCGAGUAGAACGCACAGUUUAUACCGUAGCUUGCUACACCAUAGACUGUGAGUUGCGAACGGGUGAGUAACGCGUAGGUAACCUGCCUGGUAGCGGGGGAUAACUAUUGGAAACGAUAGCUAAUACCGCAUAAUAUUAAUUAUUGCAUGAUAAUUGAUUGAAAGAUGCAACUGCAUCACUACCAGAUGGACCUGCGUUGUAUUAGCUAGUAGGUGAGGUAACGGCUCACCUAGGCGACGAUACAUAGCCGACCUGAGAGGGUGAUCGGCCACACUGGGACUGAGACACGGCCCAGACUCCUACGGGAGGCAGCAGUAGGGAAUCUUCGGCAAUGGACGAAAGUCUGACCGAGCAACGCCGCGUGAGUGAAGAAGGUUUUCGGAUCGUAAAGCUCUGUUGUAAGAGAAGAACGGGUGUGAGAGUGGAAAGUUCACACUGUGACGGUAUCUUACCAGAAAGGAACGGCUAACUACGUG